CUAACACUUUUAAUUUAAAUGUUAUAGUUGACUACAAGGAAGAAUAUAAUACUACUCUGCCACAGUUUAUUCCAUAUGAAGAUGGUAUUUAUAAUGUGAUUCAAAGAAAGGUAACAUGGUAUGAAGCAUUAAACAUGUGUUCUCAAAGUGGAGGUCAUUUGGCAAGUGUUCAUGACCAAAAUGGCCAGCUCUUUCUGGAAGAUAUCGUAAAGCGUGACGGAUUUCCACUAUGGGUUGGGCUCUCAAGUCAUGACGGAAGUGAAUCAAGUUUUGAAUGGUCUGAUGGCAGUGCAUUUGACUACACCCCAUGGAAAGA
Molecule: non-coding RNA, 316 nt
Organism: Ceratotherium simum simum (southern white rhinoceros)
Lineage: Eukaryota; Metazoa; Chordata; Mammalia; Perissodactyla; Rhinocerotidae
Source: RefSeq, a predicted model, not a curated record